This is a non-coding RNA of Zonotrichia albicollis (white-throated sparrow), 8041 nucleotides long. Lineage: Eukaryota; Metazoa; Chordata; Aves; Passeriformes; Passerellidae. The record is from RefSeq and is a predicted model, not a curated record.
GUUUGUGUGUGCGGGAGAGGAGUGGGCUUUGCACCGUGGGGAAAGGAAGGACGGGCGGCUGAGCAGCUCCCCGAGCCGUGGGGCCGGUGGCCGUGCCUCCGCCUCGGACACGCCGCUGCCAGCCCGGUGUGCGAGGGUGCAGCGCCUGCUGCCCCGGCCCGGCUGCGGUGCCGUGUGAGGGCGCUGGGCUGUGCGCUCCGUCACCGCCGUGCCACCGUGCCAGGAGAGCCAGCCAGUGCAUCUGUCUGUCGGUUCUGCCAAAUAGGCCUGAUUUUUCCUUUUGGGAAAGGUGUUACGCGGGUUGAGCUUAAGGCCGUGAGGUAGUUAGUUAAUUGAAUCUUCUGGAUGUUUCACAGGUCAGUUAAGGUGGUAAAUAAGUCUGGCAUCCCUGUGUGCCGGCUCAGGUUCAGUGCUUACAACCAGUUCUUUACAGAAAUGUUACAGACCCGGACUUGCCCCAUUCAGGAGGUGAGAGUGUCAGAGAGACUGCAUUUUCCUUGAGCAUACUUGCUCUGUCCUCACCAAGGACGCAGGCAGAUAUGCUUUUGAGUGCAGCUUCACUGUCUCCAAGGUUAGCGAGGGACAGUCUGUUAGAGAUUAGCAAGAAAGAACAUUCCUAUGUGGGACAGUCACAGAGCAGCAUUUUCUGUCAGUGGAGGUCUUGUCAUACAGCAAAUGUUCACAGGUUUACUGUUUUAAUUCCCCAUCAUGAAAUGGGGUCUGCUUAAACAUCAUCCCAGAAGAUGAGGACAUAGAAGCUAAUAAAGUUACUUUUUUACCCCAGUACUGUGGAGGAAGCAGGACAUUUUUUUUCUAGAUGGGGAUAGACUGAGUAGAAUAGAUAGAAUAGUAGUAAUGCCAUACUUGCUUUCUAAUAGACAAAAAUGAAGUGUGAAGAACGUGGGGGCAUGCAUACAAAACAUAAAUCUUGAGAGGAGGAGAGAUCAUGGUACCAAUUGUGAGGAAGAGAGAGAGUUGCAUGGCCAUGUUUCUUCCCCUUCUAACAGUAAUGCUUUCUUCCAGGUACUAAAGUCAAGUGUGGACAGUAACAUCUCCAUGCUUUAGCCAGUUUGACAUGAGAAUGGCAGGUUUCUCUUCCUUUGGAUGAUGCUUCAUGCUGAAAAUACAGCAAGGCUCUUGGAGUGUCAGGACGAAAUCGGAAUUGAGCCGUAUUCUAAAAGAAUGAAGUCGACAGAAGGGGCUUGUGAGAAACUCCCUGAUGAUGAUGACAAAGGUACUCAGAAGAAAGUGGAUGUUGAGAGAAAAUCAAAUGGUUGGAUACCUACAUGUGCCUUAGAUAACCAAGGGCAACACGAAAUGCAGAAGCAAGAGAAAAUACCUUCUGGUGCCUUGGGAUCCUUGAAUGAAGUUCUUCCUGAAAAUAAUCCAGUACUUAGUCAGCCAAUUGAUUUAGAAACUGGGCAGAAUAUAAAUCCUCCUUUUACAUCAAUGAAUUACUCUGAAGUUGAAGAAGAGAAGGACCCUUUUAUUACAAAUAAUGGUGGUGAAGAUAAUACUGAAAAAGGCAGUGCAUCAUUCUCAAUAAAUAGAAAUCAAUCAGAUGAAGACUUUUUUACAAGCAAAGAUUUUAUAGGACCUAUUUACAAGCCUGCCAAAAGUAACAAGCCGGACAAAUCUGGCAAUUGCAAUGAAUGUAGGAACACGGGAGGAGAUGAGAAUGAAUUGUGUGAAAACAGAUGUAAAAGAAAGGAGGCGAAGAAGAUGCAAGCUGUUUCUGCCUCUGUACCAGAAAUAGAUGAUCAGCUGGAUCAGUUCUAUAAAGAAAUUCACCAGCUGGAAAAUGAAAAUUUAGAUACUAAUGUUCAGGAAAAAGAAACAGAAGUUUCUGAGGAACAACACUUUCCAUUUAACUCCAGUCAGAGCUCACAAGAAAAUUAUCAGCCUGUAGUUUUGGGCAGUCCACACCCAUUUUAUGAUAAUGGACAGUGUUCUUCGGGAGAACAGAACAGUCAGAAAACAAGCAAUGAGCAGCAGUUAGUUGUGGAAACAGGUGGCUGGAAAACUGAAAAUACCUUUAAUGGCCAAGCAGAUACUUGGAACUGCUCAGUGCCUGAAUUCAGACCUGCUUGGCAGACUAGAGCAUCUUUCAACAAACCUCAGGGACCUUUUCCUCCUAGAUUCAGCCAUCAAUCCCAUUUUCAGAUAUUUGAUCCCCCACCUCAAAUCCCAAAUGUUCCCUCUCCUCAGAAUGGAGGAUUUCCUUACAAAAGUUACCAUGGAAAUACUGAUAUCAGCAGUCAUGGUCCAUUGCUUGAUCAAAAUACCAACUAUUCUGGUCAUGCUGACAUCCAUAAUACUCAGGUCUUCAGGAAUGGGAAUAAUGAUCAGAAUGGACUCCAAAGUAAUGGUUUCUGUGAAACCAGAGAAGAGCGUUGGAAUGAUCCAAAAGCUGACAGUACAGGAGGAAUGCACAACUUUUCUUCGUUGCAGUUAUCUGAAGAAAAAUUCAGUUCUUCACAGAAAUUGCUUCUAAUCUUAAGAGGCCUACCAGGUUCAGGGAAAUCCACACUUUCUCGUGUUCUGCUUGGUGGGAGUUGUGACGGCGUUGUGCUCAGCACCGAUGAUUAUUUCCGCCAGCAGUACGGAUACACCUAUAAUGCUGCUCAGCUUGGUGAUGCCCAUGAGUGGAACCGCAGGAGAGCAAAGCAAGCAAUGGAGCAGGGAAAAUCUCCAGUUAUAAUAGACAACACUAAUACUCAAGCCUGGGAAAUGAAGCCUUAUGUGGAAGUGGCUCUAGAAAAAGGAUACAGAGUGGAAUUCCAUGAGCCAGAUACUUGGUGGAAGUUUGAUCCUGAUGAACUAGAAAAGAGAAAUAAGCAUGGAGUCACUCGUGAGAAGAUUGCUCAGAUGUUGGAACGCUAUGAAUAUCAAAUAUCCAUCCCUAUUGUCAUGAAUUCAGUGGUACCUCCCCACAAAAACACUCAAAGACCACCUCUGCAGAGAAGACAUAGGGAGAAAAUUUUAAGCAAGAACCCUGGAUUCCUGUUAAUAAAAGCAAAGGAGAAGGAAAAGAGAAAAAGAAACAAAGCAAUGAAAAGUAAUUGCACAGAAAUUACGAAGAAAUUGUUAUGUGCAGUAGCUCAUCAUCCAAUUCCAGGUGACCAUGACAGAUCAGAAAGUGAAGAGGAUGACUUGGAAGAAGAAAACAAAAAAUCAAUGUGUGCAUUCAGCAAAGGCCCGGAGGAUCCAAUAAGAACUUGUGAAGAGCAGCCUAAGAGUAGUGAUGAAAGCCUAGAAGAAGCUGCAGGGAUUUCAAGAGAGAGUUUUCUGGUUGCUGUGCCUGAGGGCUCAGUGAUGUCAAAUAGUGCACAGAAAAAUGAAUUGCCUGUAGAAAGUGACAGUUUGCUUUUAAGACAUGUAAAACCUUUUUGUACUGAAAACCUAACCAAAAAUGCAUUCGAUGACAAGGAAGCAAAGCAGAGGCAGAAAGACAACCUCUGCAGUUUCCUAAGAAUAAGCAAUGAUAAAAAUUCCGUCCAGGAAACAGAAGGCAUUUCUGAAGACUAUGAUAUAUCAUUGUUAAGCACAGAAAACAAACUGGGAUCAUGCCAAAUUACAUGUGAACCUGACUUGGAAGCCAAGAGUGUAAGUUUAAACAGUGAAGAAAAAGAAAUCUCUCAGUAUUGCAGUUCAAAUAUACUUAAUAAUGUGCCUGAUAACACAGAGAGCAAAUGUCCAUUUUUAAAAGCAGAAGAAACUGCCUCCAACGCUUGGGCUUUUUUUUCAAUUAAUUUAUCUACUGAGGAGUUGCAGAUGGACUUCAAUACUCAAGUUUCUCUCUCUCCUCGCUCUGAGGAUAAAUGUGUAAGUGAACAAAAAUCUCAAAAAGUGAGGAAACCUGAACAGACUCACAUGGACAGUUCAGCAGAACUAAACUGCUAUCAAUCAAAUGAGGGAUUGGUAAAGGAAAACCAUCUUGAAACAGAAACUGAGGAAGCUGGCAAUGUAAUAAGCAAUGGUCUGCCUGCAUCUCCAACUGGUAAAGUGCACUUUGAUUCUCUAGUGGAAGCCAGGGCUGCCUUCAUGCAGGGUUCAAGUGAAGUAAAUUUGCCAAUAAAUGAUGCUACACCAAUUACACUGAAGAGGAAGAGAUACAGGAGAAUUGUCAACUUAGCACCAAAGUUUAACCUACCAAGACAGAUCUUUGCUCAUACAGAGGAAGGGAAGGACAUCCCAGUAAGAGAAGAUAUUCCCCAAAACAGUGUUUUAGAAGUGAGGCAAAAAUACUUUCUAAGCAAGAACUGUGGAGAAGCACAUGAACAGGACCAUGCAUUGCAGGAAUAUUCCUCAGCCACUCCGGAUGCAGAUGCUCUGGUACAUAAUAUUUCUUACACUCAUUCAGGACCAUGUUCUCCUAUAUCAAAAUAUGCCUGCAGGGUUUGUGUCGAUUCCAAAACAAAGGAGGAGCAAGCUACUACACUUCAGCCACAACAGGUAGUUAAUAAAAAAGAGAACAAGGGUGAACAUGUUUCUUCAGAGGUUACAAAUGGCCAGCCAGAUAAUUUGUCUUCUGUUAAAGUUGUUUCUGAGUAUCUAGAAGAUUCUACUACAAUGGCAAGCUGCAGUGAAAAUGCAAAUGGAGCAGAUGACUCUGAGCCAGCAAAGGCAUCACAGCCUGAAGAUUAUCAAGAUGCAGAUGUGAAAUGCAGUUUUCUGGGACUUCCCUUAUCAUUAGGAUUUGCUUUUCAACUUGUGCAACUCUUUGGUUCUCCAGGUCUUCCACUGGAAUCCUUGUUGCCAGAUGAUUAUGUAGUUCCCCUUGACUGGAAAGUUUCAAAGAUGAUCUAUUUACUGUGGAAGACCUCUGUGGAGGAAAAACAGAAACCAAAUGGAUUGCAGAAUGAAGAUGGCUUGACUGAUGAUAUUAUUAAUCUUGAAGAUCUAAAUAAAAAUCCCCAAGAGAAUAAAGACUCUUCUGAAACACUAUCAGACAUGGAGUUAUGUCAAGAUGUGAUAGAGGAGAACAUCAUAACCUGCACUGGCUGCCUGGAUGCUGCAUUUCAUCAGUCAUGAGUGACUCUAAAAUUCUGCAUGAACAAACAGAAACUUCUCGCUUUAAUUCCACCAUGGAAGGACUUCAGUUGGCCACCAAGGAUUUUAAAAGUGAGGGAUAACCUGGAAGAGAGAAACCACUGUAGAUUUUUUGGUAUACAUCUUUGGCCACCUCCCCACAACACUGCCCCCCAGUAUCAACCUCUCUGACCACGUAAUAAUGAUCAAAAUUGAGAUAACUUUUUGUAUGGCAAAAGGUCACUUUCUGAAGCCUUUUGGGAUUUACACUAUUUCAGUACAUCCUCAAGUGUGGCAUAAAGAGAUUGAGAGUGGAGACCAGAGGCAUCUGUCACUAUGGGGUGUGAGCUUUAGGCUGAGGUAUUUCAUUCACUUGUAUCAGGAUCCAGGACAUUGGCACAGAAGCAGGCAGUGAUGCUUACCUGCAGGAAAUGGUGCUUGUUUUGUGUCUUAGCUGCCUCCUUCUGCCUUCACCCUCUAUAACUGCACCCUUACAUAAUUGCACCUUUACAACCUCAGAUGGUGAACAUCUUCAUCUGUGCUUCCUAUUCACUCAAACAGGGGUGCACAACUUCCAUUCUUUUCUCCUGAAACCAGUCUUUAUGCUUCCCCUCAGCUAGACUCAUUUGGGAAUUUGGGACUACAGAAACAAGAAUAUUUCACUAUGGAACUGAUUCAAACAUGCUGAAGGAAGGGUGUGUAUGGUUUGUGGUAGACUGAGAAGAUGUAUAACUAGCACUGGUAACCAGUGAUUUGAUGUUUCUGUUAGUGGUGUUGGAAAUAUUUAUGAAUGUAGAGAUAAAUCAUAAUUAAUUAUAAAGAGCAACCUCUGUCAAUUAUGAGGCAUGCAUAGGCUGGACACUUCCUUGUAGGGAGAGGGAGUGACAGCUGUCACUUCAUUUAACAAUAAAAGUGUGAAAAAAUAUUAAGGAGAAGCAGGAAACUUGGUUGUGUCUACUUGUCAGAAAUAAUAUUUCCCACUUGUGUAGCUUGCAGAUCCGGAAUAUUUCUCCAUUUAUUCUUUGAUCUCCUCUUCCUCACCUUUCCCUGCAUUUGUUUAUACAUCAGCUGAAGAGCCAGGACUUGACUGAACUCAGGCUGAAGCUCCACCAUGGUCAAAUUUGCUGAUGCGUCUCCAUCUUCUACUUAAAUACUGCAUCUACAUGAAAGCAGUUAACAAUACAGCUGAAACGUGACAACCCCACUGCUGUAGUCCUUAGUACUGAUGACUUCUUUAUUGAAAAUGGUGUCUACGUCUUUGAGCCUGAUUUCCUAGAGGAUGCACACAAGUGGAACCAGAAAAGAGCACGCAAAGCAAUGAAGAAAGGGAAAAGCCCGGUUAUUAUUGAUAACACCAACAUCCACGCUUGGGAAAUGAAGCCGUAUGUGAUGAUGGCACAUGAAAAUAGAUAUGAAGUUACAUUCCAAGAACCAGAUACACCCUGGAAGUUCAAUGUUCAAGAGCUGACAAGAAGAAAUAUUCAUCAUGUCCCUCGGGAAAAGAUACAACGGAUGAAAGAACAAUAUGAGCACAAUGUCACCUUCCACAGUGUUCUCUGGUCUGAAAAACCAAGCAGGGAUGAGGGAAGCUGCAGUGGAACAAGUGCAGCUUAUGGGACAGGUCCCCAUCCCACCCACCUUCCUGCCUUCCCAAGGAGGAGACCGGGCUUGGCACGUACCAAUGUGACAUUUAACUGAAGAUGUGCAUUCCUUGGUGCUUUAAUUAUCAGGGUACAAGAGUCUCUAGUUUUACAUUUUUUUCUAAACUGUUUUUUAUUUUUGUGUUUUUCUACUAAAUUCCUAAAUUUUAUUUCUUACAAAUCUUUAAAUGGCAUUGGACCACGCUCUCACAGCUCUACAUGACCACUGUAAGAGCACUGAAGAACACUGUACCCAGUACAAACUGUACUCUGUCUCAUCCCUCUUCCUCCAUGAAAAUCCAUCCAGGCAUAUGUGAAAUGUACUGGGCUCUACCACAUGCCACAUUUUGGGUAUUUUUUUCUGCAUCACAGUCUGACACUAGCAGUAAACAUUCCUAACUUAUUUCUGUCUUAAAGCCCUUGUGGCCAAUUCUUUCCCCUCACAAUUGGCAUUUCUUGCCAUUUUAAUGCUUUAUAUCUGACUGUAUAAACUUUUUGUAUCUACUGUUAAUGCCUAGAGCAUUAUUGUAACUUUCAGAAGCAAAGUGAAUGAUGGCAAAAGUAGCUCAACAGAUUUUAGCAAGAUUGAUGCUGUUCCCUCUCUCCACUGACUGGAUUCAUGCUGCCCUUACCUUAAACACAAACAGCUUCUCCAGCCUGCAAGCAAAACACUUCAACAAAGCAAACUUAGCUCUUCAUCUUGCCAAGACAUAGGAGUUCACUGAUCCCAAGAUGGAGAGGCUCCUGAAAUGAAACAUUAGUGUUAGGCUUGUGCUUGUUACCUCCUAAGUGGGAACAGGGCUACAGGAGCAGCUCUGAACAGCUGAAGCAAAAACACAGACCAAGGAGCUAUUUAAUAAUAACUCUGCAUGGCAUUUUGCUGUGAGUCAAAUAAUCAUUGCUGUUCUUUAAACCUCCCUUAGUGCUAUAUGGAAAGUCUGAGGAGAAAAGUACAAGAACUGUGCCAGAAUAGCAGAGCAACAUUUCAGAAUUAAAGUGUUCUGUUUGCUGAAAAUAAGAGAACUCUUUAUUAUGUCCUGUGCCACUUUGGACAGCCAAACAACUAUUCUAAUGUUGCAGGGGGUAACAAAACUGAUGGCUUUAGACUGAAACAAAGAUCCUGCUGUAAUGUAAGAACACAGAAUCAAUGGCUUACAGAAUGUCAUCAAACCCUCAGCCACACUGAUGUUAUUGUACAAUACAUCUUUGUGAUUAGUGUUUACAUACUAAACUUCAAACUAUUUUGCUAAUGAAGUGUUAUUUAAUGAGUCUGCUUUUGUAAUAGAACUUUAUUAAAUACAAUCAAGUUUUAAUGUACAAAGUGUAAAAAUAAUUUGAAUUUGAAAUAUAUACAAUUCUGUACAUGUGCA